GUGGGGAAUAUUGGACAAUGGGCGAAAGCCUGAUCCAGCCAUGCCGCGUGUGUGAAGAAGGUCUUCGGAUUGUAAAGCACUUUAAGUUGGGAGGAAGGGCAGUAAGUUAAUACCUUGCUGUUUUGACGUUACCGACAGAAUAAGCACCGGCUAACUUCGUGCCAGCAGCCGCGGUAAUACGAAGGGUGCAAGCGUUAAUCGGAAUUACUGGGCGUAAAGCGCGCGUAGGUGGUUUUGUAAGUUGGAGGUGAAAUCCCCGGGCUCAACCUGGGAACUGCCUCCAAAACUGCAUGACUCGAGUACGGUAGAGAGUAGUGGAAUUUCCUGUGUAGCGGUGAAAUGCGUAGAUAUAGGAAGGAACACCAGUGGCGAAGGCGACUACCUGGACUGAUACUGACACUGAGGUGCGAAAGCGUGGGGAGCAAACAGGAUUAGAUACCCCGGUAGUCC
This 450-nucleotide ribosomal RNA is filed under the name uncultured bacterium. RNAcentral's name for it is "partial 16S ribosomal RNA". It matches the Rfam family "Bacterial small subunit ribosomal RNA", at positions 354 to 796 of the family's 1533-position model. The record is from RNAcentral.